GCCCGUAUAGCUCAGUGGUAGAGCGCAUCACUCGUAUGGAACCCUCUAGGGUUCAGUGCGCGAUAUGAUGAGGUCGGCGGUUCGAUCCCGCCUGGGGGCA
Non-coding RNA from Achaetomium macrosporum, 100 nucleotides. NCBI's taxonomy places the organism in Eukaryota, Fungi, Ascomycota, Sordariomycetes, Sordariales, Chaetomiaceae. The record is from the annotation of a GenBank genome assembly.